CGGAUUGCAGGCUGCAACCCGCCUGCAUGAAGCCGGAAUCGCUAGUAAUCGCGGAUCAGAAUGCCGCGGUGAAUACGUUCCCGGGUCUUGUACACACCGCCCGUCACACCAUGGGAGUCGAUAACGCCCGAAGUCAGUGACCCAACCGAAAGGAGGGAGCUGCCGAAGGCGGGAUGGAUAACUGGGGUGAAGUCGUAACAAGGUACC
This 207-nucleotide ribosomal RNA is filed under the name uncultured bacterium. RNAcentral's name for it is "partial 16S ribosomal RNA". It matches the Rfam family "Bacterial small subunit ribosomal RNA", at positions 1294 to 1500 of the family's 1533-position model. The record is from RNAcentral.